Long non-coding RNA from Cyprinus carpio carpio, 2622 nucleotides. Lineage: Eukaryota; Metazoa; Chordata; Actinopteri; Cypriniformes; Cyprinidae. The record is from Ensembl.
CAAUCAGUGCACUGCCACUCAAAGGACCCGGAUAGAGGCUUGGAUCCAAGAGCCUGAGGCACAUCACUGGAAAAAAAAAAAGAGAGCGAGAGAGAAAAUAACAGCGCCACAGCAGAGCGCAGUGUUAUCCAACGCGAGCUCUUCUUUGCUGCAGGCGGCUCCGUCCCAAACCUCAGCCCUAUCUUGAGUGAACAUCACACAGCCGAGAUGAAAAAGCGGGAAAUCGAUGCAGGGGAGCGCGCGCCAUGUAGAGAGCCUGGCUUUGCUUUGAUCGAAGGCUGACUGACAAGACCUUCAGCCCUGUGAUCUCCGGCAUGAUGAAGGACCGGAGCCGUGGUGGCGCAACAACGUGUGUUUGUUGUAUUUUGUGCGUUGUAGGUUUUGUGUAUUUGUGUACAUGUUUUUGAAAAAAAAAUAUUAGCUUCAAAACCUAGCGAGCCGCCUACGGAGCCGGCAUUUUAAAACUUCAUAGGCGCUCUUCUGACACAAAGUCUUUCUCAAAGGGUCGUCGCAAUUAUGCUGCCGCCUAAGAUACCUUCUUAAGGCCACAUUUUAAAGCGGAAUCACUAUGCUUUGCAUAAAAGACAAAAAAUUAUAAAUAAUAUACAUAAAUAAAAACUGGUUGUUAGUGUUAAAGGAAUAGUCCACCCAAAAAUUCUGUCAUCAUUUACUCAGUUUAAUUGUUUUGGUUCCCAUUGACUUCCAUUGUAUGGGCAAAAAUACUGUAGAAGUCAAUGGGAACCAAAACUGUUUGGUUACGAGCUUUUGUUGUUUUUUUUUUUGUUUUAUAAUAUCUUCUUUUGCGCUGAGCAGAAGAAUGAAAUGCAUACAGGUUUUGAACAACAUGAGGUUGAGUAAAUGACAGAUUUGAUCACUUUAACUAAAAAACUAUUAAAAUGAUUAAAAAUGUAAAUAAAGCUAAAAUAAAAUAUAAAUAUUAGGUGAAAAACAAACUUUAAAAAACAAAAAUUUGAAAUUAUGCCUUGGCUACUAACUGAAAUUAAAUAAGUUGAAGUUGAAGUAAAUUUAAUACAACUAAAAUUGAAAAUAUAAAUAAAUGAAAGCUAAAUUGGAAUUUAAAUAAAAAACUAGAUUUCUAAAACAAACAAGUUAAAAUGCGAACUGAAAAUAUAAAAUAAAAGCUAAUUUAAAAUACUAAUAUUUAUAUACUGUAAUAGUAUAUAAAUAAUACUAAAAAACAUGAAAAUUAAUCCAAAACUGGUGUAUGAGCUGAAAGAUAUUUUGAUUAUAAAUUAGCUUAUAGUUAAAUGAAAUUAAAAAAAAAUAUGCCUAUUAGCAAUUUACACUGCUUAGCAACAUGCUAAUGUCAAACUUUUGAAAUCAAUCGGCGGUUCUCCAGUUCAGAGUGCUGUUUGUGUUGCUUCUCUGCUGGGGAGUAGAUAUUGAGGCAGCUAGUCAGGUUUUGGAAUGCUUUAUUGUUUAGCCUGCAUAACAAAAAAUGUGUACACAAACACACAACUGGCACAGCCAGGCGGGUCAGGACAAGCCUGUACUCUCUCCUCUUGCCUUCCCUUUUCAGACAAGUACAGAGGGGGUGUGAGACAGAGGGCUCUGUCUGCAUCUAAAGCCUGCUGGGAAAGGCUGUACUCUCAUCUCCCACACAGCAGAAUGCAUAUGCACCAAAAUCCUCUUCACUUUAAAACAACCUUCCCCUUCAGCCUCCUCUGGUACUCCCGACGGGUCAUCACAUGAAGCGUGUCCUCUGGUCUACCUUUGCUGGGGAUGGUGACCUUCACAGAGGCUUGAGAGAUGCCUCGGACCAGAGCAUUGUGGGUACUCUAAGACUGAGUGACAUACACAGCAUGGAAGCACUGGCGAGGAGCUUUGCUGAACCUUGUGAUCCAUGUCACUGCCUCAAUGGGACACACACACCCGAUAUAAAUCCACUGACAUUACAGCGGAUUGAUGUUUAUAUACAAGAGUUUUCAGCUGAAAAGCUGCAUUACCACUGAAAGAGUGACCAUAAUGCAUUGUGGUUCAGAAGAUUCAUGUCUCUCUCUUCUGUGAUUUUUUACCUUCUGCCAAGCUUAAAGAAUGAAAUGAGAGAUUGUAGAUUACUGUAGAUGUCAGAUUUUGCUCCAGCACGCUAAAUUAACAGCUAAAGUAAACACUGUAAAGCUGAAUUGUGUAAUUUCUGUGCCAUUACUGGCAACAAAUAGAAUGGAAAAAGAUUACUCAUAAACACAUGUAUUUUUAAUUAUAUAAUGAUAUGUUUUUAUAAUUUUUUUAUUACACUACUGCUCUACAAUGGUGGGGUCAGUAAAAUUUUUUUGUGUCUCAUGCUCACCAAGGCUGCAUUUAUUUGAUCAAAAAUACAGUAAAAAUAGUAAUAUUGUGAUAUAAUAAAUAUAUGAUUACAAUUUAAAAUAACUCAAUUCUGUUUUCAUACAUUUUGAAAGGUCAUUUAUUCCUGUAAUGGCAAAGCUGAAUUUUCAGCAGUCAUUGUUUCAGUUUCCAGUGUCACAUGAUCCUUCAGAAAUUAUUCUUAUAUGCGAAUUUGGUGCUCAAAAAAAUUCUUAUGAUUAUCAAUUUUAAAAUGGUUAUGCUACUUGAUAUUUUUGUGGAAACUGUGAUAGCAUUUUUUUUUUCAGGAAUGAUGCA